GAUGAACGCUGGCUGCGUGCCUAAUACAUGAAAGUCGAGCGAUCAGAUGCGGAGCUUGCUCCUCUGACGUUAGUGGCAGAUGGGUGUGUAACCCGUGGAUAACUUACCUCUUAGGCCGCGAUCACCUCGGGAAACCGGAGCUACUGGCGGGUGCUUUACCGAACCGCUUUGUACGUUAGUUUGUGCCGGCUUACACGUCCCUUUUAGUUGGCACCGCGCCGCAUUAGCUAGUUGGUAAGGUUACGGCUUACCAAGGCAACGAUGCGUAGCCGACCUGAGAGGGUGAUCGGCCACACUGGAGCUGAGACACGGUCCAGACGCCUACGGGAGGCAACAGUAGGGAAUCUUCCGCAAUGGGCGAAAGCUUGACGGAGCAACACCGCGUGAGUGAUGAAGGUCUUCGGAUCCUAAAACUCUGUUAUGAGGGAAGAACAAAUGUGUAAGUAACUAGUCACGUCUUGACGGUACCUAAUCAGAAAGCCACGGCUAACUACGUG
This 497-nucleotide ribosomal RNA is filed under the name uncultured bacterium. Its description in RNAcentral is "partial 16S ribosomal RNA". It matches the Rfam family "Bacterial small subunit ribosomal RNA", at positions 28 to 507 of the family's 1533-position model. The record is from RNAcentral.